CAGCCGCCGCGGUAAUACGAAGGGUGCAAGCGUUAAUCGGAAUUACUGGGCGUAAAGCGCACGCAGGCGGUUUGUUAAGUCAGAUGUGAAAUCCCCGAGCUUAACUUGGGAACUGCAUUUGAAACUGGCAAGCUAGAGUCUUGUAGAGGGGGGUAGAAUUCCAGGUGUAGCGGUGAAAUGCGUAGAGAUCUGGAGGAAUACCGGUGGCGAAGGCGGUCCCCUGGACAAAGACUGACGCUCGGGUGCGAAAGCGUGGGGAGCAAACAGGAUUAGAUACCCGCGUAGUCCCUGUCUCUAUACC
RNAcentral lists this ribosomal RNA (301 nucleotides) under uncultured bacterium. RNAcentral describes it as "partial 16S ribosomal RNA". It matches the Rfam family "Bacterial small subunit ribosomal RNA", at positions 509 to 808 of the family's 1533-position model. The record is from RNAcentral.